Molecule: non-coding RNA, 486 nt
Organism: Pelecanus crispus (Dalmatian pelican)
Lineage: Eukaryota; Metazoa; Chordata; Aves; Pelecaniformes; Pelecanidae
Source: the annotation of a RefSeq genome assembly
AUGAUAGAGGGGAAUAUUAAGGAACUGGCAUUUGGGACUGGGACACAACUUCUUGUUACCCCAAAUGUUACUCCAUCUCCUUCAGUCUACAGGCUGAUCUCUAAAGAUGAUGAAGAUUUGGAAAUGUGCCUUAUCACAGAUUACUCCCCCGAAAACCUCACUGUUACCUCGGCUGAAAAGCAGACAAAUGCUGUUGUGGAGGUGGCAACAUCUGAGAACAAACAGGAAGCAAGCUACCUGACAACCUACUGGGCCAGGAAAGAUGAAAUGCAUUGUGGUGCACAUCACGAGGGCUUUGGAGAACUGGAGAGCGAGGAUCCUGAAAGUGGUGCCAGCACUGUCUGUGUUACAGGGGUGUCUCUACACUUCAGGACAGAUGAAAACCUGAACAUGCUGUCUUUAUCACAGCUGGGCCUGAAAAUAAUUUUAAUGAAAGGAAUAAUUUUUAAUGUGCUGAUGACGAUGCUUAUGUGGAAAAAAAAGUGA